AUUGAACGCUGGCGGCAGGCUUAACACAUGCAAGUCGAGCGGGGUGAUGUAGCUUGCUACAUUACCUAGCGGCGGACGGGUGAGUAAUGCUUAGGAAUCUGCCUAUUAGUGGGGGACAACAUUCCGAAAGGAAUGCUAAUACCGCAUACGCCCUACGGGGGAAAGCAGGGGAUCUUCGGACCUUGCGCUAAUAGAUGAGCCUAAGUCAGAUUAGCUAGUUGGUGGGGUAAAGGCCUACCAAGGCGACGAUCUGUAGCGGGUCUGAGAGGAUGAUCCGCCACACUGGGACUGAGACACGGCCCAGACUCCUACGGGAGGCAGCAGUGGGGAAUAUUGGACAAUGGGGGGAACCCUGAUCAGCCAUGCCGCGUGUGUGAAGAAGGCCUUUUGGUUGUAAAGCACUUUAAGCGAGGAGGAGGCUACCGAGAUUAAUACUCUUGGAUAGUGGACGUUACUCGCAGAAUAAGCACCGGCU
This 475-nucleotide ribosomal RNA is filed under the name uncultured bacterium. RNAcentral's name for it is "bacterial SSU rRNA". It matches the Rfam family "Bacterial small subunit ribosomal RNA", at positions 30 to 498 of the family's 1533-position model. The record is from RNAcentral.